Molecule: ribosomal RNA, 484 nt
Filed under: uncultured bacterium
Lineage: Bacteria
Description: partial 16S ribosomal RNA
Rfam family: Bacterial small subunit ribosomal RNA
Source: RNAcentral
AUUGAACGCUGGCGGCAGGCCUAACACAUGCAAGUCGAGCGGAUGAAGGGAGCUUGCUCCUGGAUUCAGCGGCGGACGGGUGAGUAAUGCCUAGGAAUCUGCCUGGUAGUGGGGUAUAACGUCCUGAAACGGGCGCUAAUACCGCAUACGUCCUGAGGGUGAAAGUGGGUGAUCUUCGGACCUCACGCUAUCAGAUGAGCCUAGGUCGGAUUAGCUAGUUGGUGGGGUAAAGGCCUACCAAGGCGACGAUCCGUAACUGGUCUGAGAGGAUGAUCAGUCAAACUGGAACGGAGACACGGUCCAGACUCCUACGGGAGGCAGCAGUGGGGAAUAUUGGACAAUGGGCGAAAGCCUGAUCCAGCAAUGCCGCGUGUGUGAAGAAGGUCUUCGGAUUGUAAAGCACUUUAAGUUGGGAGGAAGGGCAGUAAGUUAAUACCUUGCUGUUUUGACGUUACCAACAGAAUAAGCACCGGCUAACUUCGUG